GGCACGGAAAGACUUCCUUAUUUUUGAUGACAUUGGCAGUUUUGAGAAGUAUGGGCUAGGUAUUUUGUUGAAUUUGUCUCUAUUGGAAUUUGUCUGAGAUAUUUCUUAUGCCUGGUUUGGGAUUGUAGAUCUUUGGAAAAAAAAUUUGCAGAGGUCAGGUGUUAUUCUUAUCACAUCACAUCGAAGGUACAUACUGUCAACAUGAUUUAUCACUGAUGAUAUUGGCUUUGAUGACCUGGCUGAGAUAGUGGUUUUCAGAUUUCUUCACUGUAAAGUUAACUAUUUUUUCUUCCCCCUUCCUAUAUUCUGCUCUUUGGAGGAAAUUUUUAUGUGCAGCCCAUACUUCAGAAGUAGAGAGCUCUGCUCUAUCUUCUUGAGGGUUCAGUAUCUACAGAAAUUCUUUGCAAUUCUAGUGACUGUGAUUAGUCAGUGACUAUGAUUAGACUAUGAUUAAACUAUGACUAGAGGCACUCAGUUUUAGCUUGUGCUUCUGAAAUGUGAACUUUACAAGUGCGUUUAGUCCUCUACUCGCCAUGAUGGAAGCAUGAAGGGAUUUUUUCUGCACUGUGCACUGGGAGAAGCACGUUGAACUCCUGGAGCGUCUGGUCUGGGACCUCACCAAAAGGCUGGAUAAUAGGCAGAGCCAUGGUUUUACAGGCGACCAUAGGAGUGUGGUCACAGAUGUACAUUUUUCAGAGGAAUGCAACAUAAGGCUGCCAGAUGGACUGACGUGUGUAGUUUUAUUUCACAAGGGAGCACCAAUGUGCAGCUUCAGUGGAGACGAGGCCCUUGCGGGCACAGUGUUAACUGCAGAAGCCACUUUGCCCAAUGUGUACAAUCUGGAACAUGGGGAAGAAAAAACAGGAAAACUAAUAGCGUUUUGUGAAUCUUCAUGUAAAACUCUGACUUUUAAAUUAUUAUCAUAAGAUGAAAUAUUUGAGUAGUCAGGGGGCAAAGAGGUUAAAGGAUUGUGAGGUGACUAUGAACUAGGAUAUAGUCGUAACUGAAACCAAGAAACAUAUAAAAACAAAUAGUAAAACAUUGAUUUCACUGUCAAAAAUAAAGCAGAAGUUUCUUUCACGGGUUCAUUAUAUUGUGGGGCCCUAAACACACUCAUCGAGUUGAUCUAUAAUCAAAUGUUCCAAUAGUUUCUUAACUGCUAUCCUACCAUCUGGAUAUUAAUAAGAAAUGAAUAAAAUAAUUUAUUAGUAAAAUUAAAAGCAACAUCAGGAAUGACAUGCUGGCAGGUAAAACAGCACCCAAGGAAUAUUUCAGAGUCAGCUCUGUACCAAUAAAAGUAUAGUACUUGGUAAGAAUUCUGAUGAUUGACCAUAUUGUGGCAUACAUUUUCUUUCUCUUAUAACCUUCUAAUUUUUACUACCUCUCUAAGAUAAAGUGAAAGCUACUAGAGUAAUAAUACUGACAAACUAAGACUGAAUCACAUCAGGCAAACGAUAAGUAAAAGUUGAUGGUGACACUGCUGGGAACAUAAAGACAGAUUUUAGCAGAAUAAUGAUGAACACUGGUUUUUUGUUUUAGAAAUUGUAAUAAGAACUAUUUGACCAUGAUGAUUCCACAUGUACCCAAGCUUCAUUAAAACACUCUGUGAAAAUGAGGUUGUUUUAAAGACAAAUAAGAUUGUAAUUAAUAA
Chlorocebus sabaeus (green monkey) is the source of this 1651-nucleotide non-coding RNA. The record is from RefSeq and is a predicted model, not a curated record. Lineage: Eukaryota; Metazoa; Chordata; Mammalia; Primates; Cercopithecidae.